GAAGCCUGGUGCUUGCACCGGGUGGAUGAGUGGCGAAGGGUGAGUAACACGUGAGUAACCUGCCCCUGACUUCGGGAUAAGCCCGGGAAACUGGGUCUAAUACCGGAUACGACUGCCGGACGCAUGUCUGGUGGUGGAAAGUUUUUUCGGUUGGGGAUGGGCUCGCGGCCUAUCAGUUUGUUGGUGAGGUAAUGGCUCACCAAGACGACGACGGGUAGCCGGCCUGAGAGGGCGACCGGCCACACUGGGACUGAGACACGGCCCAGACUCCUACGGGAGGCAGCAGUGGGGAAUAUUGCACAAUGGGGGAAACCCUGAUGCAGCGACGCAGCGUGCGGGAUGACGGCCUUCGGGUUGUAAACCGCUUUCAGCAGGGAAGAAGCGCAAGUGACGGUACCUGCAGAAGAAGUACCGGCUAACUACGUGCCAGCAGCCGCGGUAAUACGUAGGGUACGAGCGUUGUCCGGAAUUAUUGGGCGUAAAGAGCUCGUAGGUGGUUGGUCACGUCUGCUGUGGAAACGCAACGCUUAACGUUGCGCGUGCAGUGGGUACGGGCUGACUAGAGUGCAGUAGGGGAGUCUGGAAUUCCUGGUGUAGCGGUGAAAUGCGCAGAUAUCAGGAGGAACACCGGUGGCGAAGGCGGGACUCUGGGCUGUAACUGACACUGAGGAGCGAAAGCAUGGGGAGCGAACAGGAUUAGAUACCCUGGUAGUCCAUGCCGUAAACGUUGGGCACUAGGUGUGGGGGGCAUUCCACGUUCUCCGCGCCGUAGCUAACGCAUUAAGUGCCCCGCCUGGGGAGUACGGUCGCAAGGCUAAAACUCAAAGGAAUUGACGGGGGCCCGCACAAGCGGCGGAGCAUGCGGAUUAAUUCGAUGCAACGCGAAGAACCUUACCAAGGCUUGACAUACACCGGACCGUCCUGGAAACAGGUCUUCUUCUUUGAAGCUGGUGUACAGGUGGUGCAUGGUUGUCGUCAGCUCGUGUCGUGAGAUGUUGGGUUAAGUCCCGCAACGAGCGCAACCCUCGUUCUAUGUUGCCAGCACGUGAUGGUGGGAACUCAUAGGAGACUGCCGGGGUCAACUCGGAGGAAGGUGGGGAUGACGUCAAAUCAUCAUGCCCUUUAUGUCUUGGGCUUCACGCAUGCUACAAUGGCUGGUACAGAGAGAGGCGAACCCGUGAGGGCAAGCGAAUCCCUUAAAGCCAGUCUCAGUUCGGAUCGUAGUCUGCAAUUCGACUACGUGAAGUCGGAGUCGCUAGUAAUCGCAGAUCAGCAACGCUGCGGUGAAUACGUUCCCGGGCCUUGUACACACCGCCCGUCAAGUCACGAAAGUCGGUAACACCCGAAGCCG
This 1351-nucleotide ribosomal RNA is filed under the name Brevibacterium casei. RNAcentral describes it as "bacterial SSU rRNA". It matches the Rfam family "Bacterial small subunit ribosomal RNA", at positions 68 to 1429 of the family's 1533-position model. The record is from RNAcentral. Lineage: Bacteria; Bacillati; Actinomycetota; Actinomycetes; Micrococcales; Brevibacteriaceae.